Molecule: ribosomal RNA, 429 nt
Filed under: Pseudomonadota bacterium
Lineage: Bacteria; Pseudomonadati; Pseudomonadota
Description: Proteobacteria bacterium partial 16S ribosomal RNA
Rfam family: Bacterial small subunit ribosomal RNA
Source: RNAcentral
UGGGGAAUAUUGGACAAUGGGCGAAAGCCUGAUCCAGCCAUGCCGCGUGUGUGAAGAAGGUCUUCGGAUUGUAAAGCACUUUAAGUUGGGAGGAAGGGCAGUAAGCGAAUACCUUGCUGUUUUGACGUUACCGACAGAAUAAGCACCGGCUAACUCUGUGCCAGCAGCCGCGGUAAUACAGAGGGUGCAAGCGUUAAUCGGAAUUACUGGGCGUAAAGCGCGCGUAGGUGGUUCGUUAAGUUGAAUGUGAAAGCCCCGGGCUCAACCUGGGAACUGCAUUCAAAACUGGCGAGCUAGAGUAGGGCAGAGGGUGGUGGAAUUUCCUGUGUAGCGGAGAAAUGCGUAGAUAUAGGAAGGAACACCAGUGGCGAAGGCGACCACCUGGGCUCAUACUGACACUGAGGUGCGAAAGCGUGGGGAGCAAACAGG